RNAcentral lists this ribosomal RNA (718 nucleotides) under uncultured fungus. RNAcentral describes it as "LSU rRNA". It matches the Rfam family "Eukaryotic large subunit ribosomal RNA", at positions 63 to 632 of the family's 3401-position model. Lineage: Eukaryota; Fungi. The record is from RNAcentral.
AAAUACAUGAUUCCCUANUACUGCGAGUGAAGAGGGACAAGCUCAAAUUUUAAAUCCAUCGGGUUUUACCUGAUCGAGUUGUAAUUUGAAGAGGCGUUUUCUGUGUUUCUNGAUCAGUCCAAGUCCUUUGGGAUAAGGCAUCAUGGAGGGUGAGAAUCCCGUCCGGUUGAUCAGAUUCGCUUUACGAUACGCUUUCUAAGAGUCAAGUUGUUUGGGAUUGCAGCUUAAAAUGGGAGGUAAAUUUCUCCUAAGGCUAAAUAACGGCGAGAGACCGAUAGCGAACAAGUACCGUGAGGGAAAGAUGAAAAGAACUUUGAAAAGAGAGUUAAAUAGUACGUGAAAUUGUUGAAAGGGAAACGAUUGAAGCCAGUCGUACCUAUGGGUAAUCAGCCUUUUGGGUGUGAUUUUGUGGAGCGUGAGGAGUUAAACGCCUUCAUGCCUGCAUAUUCGUGCACUUUGGGUGUACUUGCCCGUAUGGUUGGUUAACAUCAAUUUUGGUGGUCAUAAAAUGACUGGAGGAAUGUAGCUUCGAUCUUGUAUUGAAGUGUUAUAGCCUUCGGUAGAUGUGAUGAUCGAGAUUGAGGAUUGCAACGGAUACCCUUCGGGGCUACCUGUCUGAUCUCUGAUCGUUGCUCUGGUGCCGAAAGCUUGCUUACGGUUAUCAAAGUCGAUGGUCAAUAGGUUAGAACGGGUUAAAUUCGUUAAGGAUGUUGACGUA